CUUUAAAAAGAUGAAUACAAUAUAAUUUUAACAUCCUUCUAAGUUUGUUGAAAUUGUAUCUUGCCUUCCUAUUGACGUGUUUUUUCAUGUCUACCUUCCUAAGUCUUGCUAUGUAAAAAGUCCCAAGGACACUGUUCUUUUGCAAAACUAAUAAAAGCUUUCUUUAAGAUGUUACUCCACAUA
Molecule: non-coding RNA, 183 nt
Organism: Ceratotherium simum simum (southern white rhinoceros)
Lineage: Eukaryota; Metazoa; Chordata; Mammalia; Perissodactyla; Rhinocerotidae
Source: RefSeq, a predicted model, not a curated record